Molecule: ribosomal RNA, 215 nt
Filed under: uncultured Coprinellus
Lineage: Eukaryota; Fungi; Basidiomycota; Agaricomycetes; Agaricales; Psathyrellaceae
Description: partial 18S ribosomal RNA
Rfam family: Eukaryotic small subunit ribosomal RNA
Source: RNAcentral
AGCUCGUAGUUGAACUUCAGGCCUGGCUGGGCGGUCCGCUUAACGGCGUGUACUGUCUGGCUGGGUCUUACCUCUUGGUGAGCCGGCGUGCCCUUUAUUGGUGUGCGUCGGGGAACCAGGACUUUUACCUUGAGAAAAUUAGAGUGUUCAAAGCAGGCCUAUGCCCGAAUACAUUAGCAUGGAAUAAUAAAAUAGGACGUGCGGUUCUAUUUUGU